Molecule: transfer RNA, 90 nt
Filed under: Flavipsychrobacter sp.
Lineage: Bacteria; Pseudomonadati; Bacteroidota; Chitinophagia; Chitinophagales; Chitinophagaceae
Description: tRNA-OTHER
Source: RNAcentral
GCCAUGUGAAUACAGGUGACACCAUUUUUUACAGGACUUAAAAUCCUGUAUGCAGCAAUGCGUGUGCGGGUUCAAGUCCCGCCCGGGGCA